AAUGAACGCUGGCGGCGUGGUUAAGGCAUGCAAGUCGAACGGAGCAAGACCGGUAGCAAUACCUGUCUUGCCCAGUGGCGAACGGGUGCGUAACACGUGAACAAUCUACCUCUAAGUGGGGAAUAGCUCGGCGAAAGCCGAAAUUAAUACCGCAUACGGUCGAGGCUCUCCUGAGCUUCGUACCAAAGUCAGGGACCGCAAGGCCUGAUGCUAAGAGAGGAGUUCGCGGCCUAUCAGCUAGUUGGCGAGGUAACGGCUCACCAAGGCUAAGACGGGUAGCUGGUCUGAGAGGAUGAUCAGCCACACUGGAACUGAGACACGGUCCAGACACCGUACGGGAGCUGCAGUCGCGAAUCAUUCACAAUGGGCGCAAGCCUGAUGAUG
This 384-nucleotide ribosomal RNA is filed under the name uncultured bacterium. RNAcentral describes it as "bacterial SSU rRNA". It matches the Rfam family "Bacterial small subunit ribosomal RNA", at positions 29 to 391 of the family's 1533-position model. The record is from RNAcentral.